AUUGAACGCUGGCGGCAUGCCUUACACAUGCAAGUCGAACGGCAGCACGGGAGCAAUCCUGGUGGCGAGUGGCGAACGGGUGAGUAAUAUAUCGGAACGUGCCCAGUAGUGGGGGAUAACUGCUCGAAAGAGCAGCUAAUACCGCAUGCGACCUGAGGGUGAAAGGGGGGGAUCGCAAGACCUCUCGCUAUUGGAGCGGCCGAUAUCAGAUUAGCUAGUUGGUGGGGUAAAGGCCUACCAAGGCAACGAUCUGUAGUUGGUCUGAGAGGACGACCAGCCACACUGGGACUGAGACACGGCCCAGACUCCUACGGGAGGCAGCAGUGGGGAAUAUUGGACAAUGGGCGAAAGCCUGAUCCAGCAAUGCCGCGUGAGUGAUGAAGGCCCGUA
Molecule: ribosomal RNA, 390 nt
Filed under: uncultured bacterium
Lineage: Bacteria
Description: bacterial SSU rRNA
Rfam family: Bacterial small subunit ribosomal RNA
Source: RNAcentral